Molecule: ribosomal RNA, 253 nt
Filed under: uncultured bacterium
Lineage: Bacteria
Description: partial 16S ribosomal RNA
Rfam family: Bacterial small subunit ribosomal RNA
Source: RNAcentral
UACGUAGGGAGCAAGCGUUGUUCGGAUUUACUGGGCGUAAAGGGCGCGUAGGCGGCGCGGUAAGUCACUUGUGAAAUCUCUGAGCUUAACUCAGAACGGCCAAGUGAUACUGCAGUGCUAGAGUGCAGAAGGGGCAAUCGGAAUUCUUGGUGUAGCGGUGAAAUGCGUAGAUAUCGGGAGGAACACCGGUGGCGAAGGCGGUUCUCUGGGCCUGUACUGACGCUGAGGAGCGAAAGCGUGGGGAGCGAACAGG